AGAACCAUCGUCAAGUACCUUUAUUUCCAUCCGUGUUGCCGUGAUAUAAGGUUGUCCUAAAAUCAACGGAUAAGACGUUGUAUCUUGAACGAAGAAAUGUUGCUCCGUCGCAACAUCCCCAAUCCGAAUUUUGACAUCUGGACAAGCUCCAUAUAAUUCGCCUCGUAUGUUAUUAGCUGCUCGUAUUGCCCAUCCAUGUUCCAUAUCAAUUGGCCAUUUUUGCUUCUUAUAAAGAUCUUUAGACAUGAGAUUUAUUUCAGAACCA
RNAcentral lists this long non-coding RNA (265 nucleotides) under Physcomitrium patens. RNAcentral describes it as "long non-coding RNA (PPAT_LNC011919)". Lineage: Eukaryota; Viridiplantae; Streptophyta; Bryopsida; Funariales; Funariaceae. The record is from RNAcentral.